GUGCUCACUUCAGCAGCACAUAUACUAAAGUUGGAAUGAUACAGAGAAUAUCAGCAUGGCCCCUAUGCAAGAAU
Molecule: small nuclear RNA, 74 nt
Filed under: Lynx canadensis (Canada lynx)
Lineage: Eukaryota; Metazoa; Chordata; Mammalia; Carnivora; Felidae
Source: RNAcentral